UAACCUGCCUUGUAGCGGGGGAUAACUAUUGGAAACGAUAGCUAAUACCGCAUAACAAUGGAUGACACAUGUCAUUUAUUUGAAAGGGGCAAUUGCUCCACUACAAGAUGGACCUGCGUUGUAUUAGCUAGUAGGUGAGGUAAUGGCUCACCUAGGCGACGAUACAUAGCCGACCUGAGAGGGUGAUCGGCCACACUGGGACUGAGACACGGCCCAGACUCCUACGGGAGGCAGCAUG
Molecule: ribosomal RNA, 238 nt
Filed under: uncultured bacterium
Lineage: Bacteria
Description: partial 16S ribosomal RNA
Rfam family: Bacterial small subunit ribosomal RNA
Source: RNAcentral